UAUAUAUAUAUAUAUUUCAGCUGGGGAAAAAAAGAAAUAGCCCAUAAUAAUGAAUUACGAAUAAUACCAGCAUCAACAGCUUCUCAGAAAGCUCCCCCAAAGAAUUACUAAAUACAAAUCAAAAGUGUGUAACAGCGUGUAUCUAACGCUGAAUAAUAUUACAACAUGGUACAAUUAUUAAGGGAAUCAAUUAAAAAAAAUCAAAAUUUUCGGCUGAGAAGGAAAAUUGAGAGCGAUCAGAAAUCUGCAAAAUAGUUUCGCGAAUCUCCAUAAUCAUCAUCAUCGUUAAUUCAUAUACCGAUCAGCCAAGCCAGAAAAGGCAACAAAAACAAAAUCGAACCAACAAGCAACAAAAGCCUAGGUACAAAAACAAGAAUCUGCAUCAAUUAAUCCAAAAACAAUCGGACCAUGGCUACUAUCAAAAUCAAAAACCAGAAAUGCAACUAAAAAAUAGAAAUGAGAUUAGAAAUUACCUGUCUGUCCAAAUAUGAUCUGCGAUUUCCAGAAAUCGCGAGAGGAGAAAAUAGGGCGCUGUAUUGUGUUUGUCGGAAAAAAAGAAAAAAGAAAAAGAUCCGUCUCAUUUAUUACGCCAUUUUACAAAGGAUUGUCACGUGUCGUGCACGUCAACUGGACUUUUCCGACGUGGAAAUUAGUAAUUCAUUGGUAGCCCGUCAAAAUUGACUCUUACUUGUUCACCUCAAAAUUUAUCCCACCAGGAUCUAAUCCGC
RNAcentral lists this long non-coding RNA (728 nucleotides) under Salvia miltiorrhiza (redroot sage). RNAcentral describes it as "long non-coding RNA (SMIL_LNC004226)". The record is from RNAcentral. Lineage: Eukaryota; Viridiplantae; Streptophyta; Magnoliopsida; Lamiales; Lamiaceae.